RNAcentral lists this small RNA (782 nucleotides) under Pan troglodytes (chimpanzee). RNAcentral describes it as "retained intron". The record is from RNAcentral. Lineage: Eukaryota; Metazoa; Chordata; Mammalia; Primates; Hominidae.
UUCCUUGAGGUCAAUGAUCCAGGGGAACCCUCAGGGCUGGAGACUCUGAAAGACACACCGCCCCCACGGCUCAUCAAGUCACACCUGCCCCUGGCUCUGCUCCCUCAGACUCUGUUGGAUCAGAAGGUCAAGGUGGUCUAUGUUGCCCGAAACCCAAAGGACGUGGCGGUCUCCUACUACCAUUUCCACCGUAUGGAAAAGGCGCACCCUGAGCCUGGGACCUGGGACAGCUUCCUGGAAAAGUUCAUGGCUGGAGAAGGUGGGCUUGACUGGAGGAAGGAGGGUGUGAAGCCGAGGGGUGGUGGCUAUAACGUACAGCAACCCUGUGUCGGUGCCCCCUGCCCGCUUCUCUAGUGUCCUACGGGUCCUGGUACCAGCACAUGCAGGAGUGGUGGGAGCUGAGCCGCACCCACCCUGUUCUCUACCUCUUCUAUGAAGACAUGAAGGAGAACCCCAAAAGGGAGAUUCAAAAGAUCCUGGAGUUUGUGGGGCACUCCCUGCCAGAGGAGACCAUGGACUUCAUGGUUCAGCACACGUCGUUCAAGGAGAUGAAGAAGAACCCUAUGACCAACUACACCACCGUCCCCCAGGAGCUCAUGGACCACAGCACCUCCCCCUUCAUGAGGAAAGGCAUGGCUGGGGACUGGAAGACCACCUUCACCGUGGCGCAGAAUGAGCGCUUCGAUGCGGACUAUGCGGAGAAGAUGGCAGGCUGCAGCCUCAGCUUCCGCUCUGAGCUGUGAGAGGGGCUCCUGGAGUCACUGCAGAGGGAGUGUGCGAAU